AUUGAACGCUAACGGCGUGCUUAACACAUGCAAGUCGAACGGCAGCACAGUAUGUAGCAAUACAUAUGGGUGGCGAGUGGCUGACGGGUGAGUAAUACGUAGGAAUCUACCUUGUAGUGGGGGAUAACCCGGGGAAACUCGGGCUAAUACCGCAUAAUCUUUACGAAGCAAAGAGGGCCUCUGAAUAUGCUCUUGCUAAAAGAUGAGCCUACGUCGGAUUAGCUAGUUGGUGGGGUAAAGGCCUACCAAGGCGACGAUCCGUAGCUGGUCUGAGAGGAUGAUCAGCCACACUGGGACUGAGACACGGCCCAGACUCCUACGGGAGGCAGCAGUGGGGAAUAUUGGACAAUGGGCGAAAGCCUGAUCCAGCAACGCCGUGUGUGUGAAGAAGGCCUUAGGGUUGUAAAGCACUUUCAGUGGGGAAGAAAAGUUCAAGGCUAAUACCCUUGAAUCUUGACGUUACCCACAGAAGAAGCACUGGCUAACUCUGUGCCAGCAGCCGCGGUAA
Molecule: ribosomal RNA, 508 nt
Filed under: uncultured bacterium
Lineage: Bacteria
Description: partial 16S ribosomal RNA
Rfam family: Bacterial small subunit ribosomal RNA
Source: RNAcentral